GGCUUCCAUUUCUACGACUGUGAGCAUGAACUGGCGUAAUGGGGAGAUAAUUUUGAAGAAGUAGAAUCCUGACUGUAUGAAUAACAUUUCUGUAUGCAUACAAAUUGACAAGGCCUAAAUUAAAAUAUUGUUUGUUUGCCCUUUUCCGACCCUAUGUUUUGAAACAGGGUAGGUAGGUAGGUAAAAUAUUUUAUUUUUUUCCCCAAAAAAAUAACUUGGCUCGGUAUAUUAUUUGUCAUGGGUAGGCAGGUAGGUAAAAUAUUUUAUUUUAUAGAUACAAAAUCUGCAUAAUGUCAUUUUUUUCCCGUUUUGUUUUUGCAAAUAAGUUUUCCGCUGGGACUAUUAGUUUUGAAAAAAAAUAUAUAAGAGAUAACUUUGUACUGGUAAGAUAAUGUCCGGGCAGACAUAAAUUACUAGUAGAAAAAGUC
Molecule: long non-coding RNA, 428 nt
Filed under: Mytilus galloprovincialis (Mediterranean mussel)
Lineage: Eukaryota; Metazoa; Mollusca; Bivalvia; Mytilida; Mytilidae
Source: RNAcentral